This 375-nucleotide ribosomal RNA is filed under the name uncultured bacterium. Its description in RNAcentral is "bacterial SSU rRNA". It matches the Rfam family "Bacterial small subunit ribosomal RNA", at positions 524 to 898 of the family's 1533-position model. The record is from RNAcentral.
UACGAAGGGGGCUAGCGUUGUUCGGAAUUACUGGGCGUAAAGCGCGCGCAGGCGGCCAAUCAAGUCAGAGGUGAAAGCCCGGAGCUUAACUCCGGAAUUGCCCCUGAGACUGUUUGGCUUCGAGUACGGGAGAGGUGAGUGGAAUUCCGAGUGUAGAGGUGAAAUUCGUAGAUAUUCGGAAGAACACCGGUGGCGAAGGCGGCUCACUGGCCCGUUACUGACGCUCAGGCGCGACAGCGUGGGGAUCAAACAGGAUUAGAUACCCUGGUAGUCCACGCCGUAAACGAUGGAUGCUAGCCGUUGGUAAGCUUGCUUAUCAGUGGCGCAGCUAACGCAUUAAGCAUCCCGCCUGGGGAGUACGGCCGCAAGGUUGAA